RNAcentral lists this non-coding RNA (138 nucleotides) under Meleagris gallopavo (turkey). RNAcentral's name for it is "Eukaryotic large subunit ribosomal RNA". It matches the Rfam family "Eukaryotic large subunit ribosomal RNA", at positions 2623 to 2761 of the family's 3401-position model. Lineage: Eukaryota; Metazoa; Chordata; Aves; Galliformes; Phasianidae. The record is from Rfam by way of RNAcentral.
GCCUGGGGCGGUACGUCUGCCGAAGCCUAACGUGGGGUCCGAAGGUGAGCUCGGGGAGGGCAGGGAACUCCCGUGGAGCAGAAGGGCAAAAGCUCCCUGCAUCCUGGUUUUCGGUAUGUAUACAGACUGUGAAAAUGG